Molecule: long non-coding RNA, 642 nt
Organism: Pseudopipra pipra
Lineage: Eukaryota; Metazoa; Chordata; Aves; Passeriformes; Pipridae
Exons: 2
Source: RefSeq, a predicted model, not a curated record
CUGGAGUUCAAGCACAUGUAGAAAAGACUGUCACACCACCAUCUACUCCACAGAACAUUCCAAUGAAGUCCUUAGGAUGAUGUAAUAAAAACCCACAGUUACUAAAGAAUUCCAUGUGUCCAGCAAUUUAAAGUCUACUCUAUUCAUACCAUUGAGAACAACUGAAAUGUAUUUGAAGAAACAGAUAAUAAGACAAACCUAGCAAACUGCUUUUGCAGCUCCUGAAGAUUUAAUUACAAGAAUAUUCUCAGCCUGAGAAUCACCUGCCCAAGAACUGCAAGAGGUUAUUGCUCACCAGCAACCUUUCAGGGUUUUCCUCCCAGAAGAAGUGCUUGUUCCAGGACAUAUGUAACACGUGGGAGAGCGAGCAGGAGGACAGGCUGCCUAUCAGUUUUUACCACAAGAGCUCACUUGGAAGACAAGUCUUUCUCCCCCUACAGAAAGAGCAUCUUUUAAGGAAAGCCAUUAGUGCUGGGUUUGUGAUCAGAUCCCAGUUGUUUGCAUGUUCUGUGCAGUGCAAUACAAUCACUGAAAUCGGUCCCAGCUGUAGAAACACAAUGCUGGGCUGUUGCUAAUGUGUGUUGUACUGAUAAUGAAUGGUCGUCUAUGCUUUAAUCUGAAUAAAGCUCCCAACUGCUCUGC